GGCCAGGGGCGGGGCUUCCCUGAGGCGCGCCGAGAGGCGGUGGCCCACUUCCGGCAAUAAUCGCCUGGUCGCCGUCAGGUGCCGGCCCAGGUGGCAGGCGCGCCCGUUGGGCACUGGGGGACGCGGGCGCGUCAGGUGAAGACUGGGGGCUGCAGGCGCGCUAGGAGAACUAUGCCAUGUUUGGGUCAGGACUGGAGAUCUCCUGGAUGGAGUUGGAUUAAGACAGAAGAUGGCUGGAAGAGAUGUGAAUCGUGUAGUCAGAAACUUGAAAGAGAGAAUAACCAUUGUAACAUCAGUCACAGCAUUAUCUUAAAUAGCGAAGAUGGAGAAAUAUUCAAUAAUGAAGAGCAUGAAUAUGCAUCCAAAAAAAGGAAAAAGGACCAUUUUAGAAAUGACACAAAUACUCAAAGUUUUUAUCGUGAAAAAUGGAUCUAUGUCCAUAAAGAAAGCACAAAAGAAAGGCAUGGCUAUUGCACCUUGGGAGAAGCCUUUAAUCGGUUAGACUUCUCAAGUGCAAUUCAAGAUACCCGAAGGUUCAAUUAUGUGGUCAAAGUCUGAAGGCCAGAAUUCUACAGUAAGUCCUACUGAGUCAAGGUGAGAGCAGGGUCGGUGGCUUCUGAGGCUCUGCGGGAGAAUCUGUUUCCUGGCCGUAGAGGUGGCCUGCACUCCUCAGCUUGUGCUGCCCAUCUCGAAUGACUGGAGUUUCCUGCUUCUGUCACUACACCUCCCACCCUCUCCAUCACCUGCUCUGCUCUUAUAAGGAUCCGAAGAAAUGGAAUCGUCGUAUCGCUGAUCUACGUAAACAAACUGAAGAAUUGUCUGAAAGAAAAUAUGACAUGAACUUAUGAAUUCAACAGGUGAAGAUUUACAACUUGAUAAAUCAGCUUUGUGAGCUCAAGCUGUAAAAGCCAAAGGUCCGGUGAUAAUCCCAUACCCUUUUUUCCAGUCUCAUGUUGAAGAUUUUUAUGUAGAAGGCCUUCCCAAAGGAAUUUUUUUUUUUGUUUUUUUUUUUGAGAUGGAGUUUUCACUCUUAUCGCCCAGGCUGGGGUGCAAUGGUGCAACCUUGCUGGUCACUGCAACCUCUGCCUCCUGGGUUCAAGAAAUUCUCCUGCCUUAGCCUCCCAAGUCGCUGGGAUUACAGGUGCCCACCACCACACCAGGCUAAUUUUUGUAUUUUUAGUGGAGAUGGGGUUUCACCAUGUUGGCCGGGCCAGUCUUGAACUCCUGACGUCAAGUGAUCUUCCCGCCUCGACUCCUGACAUCAAGUGAUCUUCCCGCCUCGGCCUUCCAGAGUGCUGAGAUUACAGACGUGAACCCAUGCCUGGCCAGGAAUUUUGUUUUUUAGGAAGGCUUUCUACUAAUGGAAUUCCUGGCCUUGAGAGGAUGUUACUUUCGAAGGAAAGGAUUUUUUUGUUAUUAAAAGAAACAGGACCUUGCCCUGUCACUCAGGAUGGAGUUCAGUGGUCCUAUCAUGGCUCAUUAUAGCCUCAAACUCCCAGGCUGAAGCAAUCCUACCAUGUCAGCCUUCCCGUAGCUGGGACUACAGAGACGAGGUUUCGCCGUGUUUCCCAGACUGUUCUCAAGCUCCUGAGCUCAAAGCAGUCCACCCACCUUGGCCUCCCAGAGUGCUGGAAUUACAGCUGGAUCUACCAUGAAGGACUUCUGAAUCCAGGAAGAGAGACUGACUGGGCAACAUGUUAUUCAGGUACAAAAAGAUUUGGACUGUAACUUAAAAAUGAUCAAAUAAUAGUGCAUGCAUCAAGUGCAAUGGGAAGCUCUUCUGGAGAGUGAGAGAAGCUUCCAGUUAAGGUGACAUUGAAGCCAAGUCCUGAAAGAUGAGGAAGAGUUGUAUGAGAGUGGGGAGGGAAGGGGGAGGUGGAGGGAUGGGGAAUGGGCCGGGAUGGGAUAGCGCAAACUGCCCGGAAGGGAAACCAGCACCGUACAGACCUGAACAACGAAGAUGGCGUAUUUUGUUCAGGGAAUGGUGAAUUAAGUGUGGCAGGAAUGCUGUGUAGACACAGUAAUUUGCUUGUAUGGAAUUUUGCCUGAGAGACCUCAUUGCAGUUUCUGAUUUUUUGAUGUCUUCAUCCAUCACUGUCCUUGUCAAAUAGUUUGGAACAGGUAUAAUGAUCACAAUAACCCCAAGCAUAGUAUUUCGUUAAUUCUCACAGAAUCACAUGUAGGUGCCACAGUUAUCCCCAUUUUAUGAAUGGAGUGAUGAAGCCUUAGGAAUAAUGAAUGAUUUGCGCAGGCUCACCUGGAUAUUAAGACUGAGUCAAAUGUUGGGUCUGGUCUGACUUUAAUGUUUGCUUUGUUCAUGAGCACCACAUAUUGCCUCUCCUAUGCAGUUAAGCAGGUAGGUGACAGAAAAGCCCAUGUUUGUCUCUACUCACACACUUCUGACUGAAUGUAUGUAUGGAGUUUCUACACCAAAUUCUUCAGUGCUCUGGAUAUUAGCUGGGUAUCCCAUGACUUUAUUCUGAUACUACCUGGAGUUAGCACAGACCCCACAAGUUAGGGGCUCAGUCCCACGAGGCCAUCCUCACUUCAGAUGCCAAUGGCAAGUCCUAAGUUGUCACCAUACUUUUGACCAACCUGUUACCAAUCGGGGGUUCCCAUAACUGUCUUCUUGGGUUUAAUAAUUUGCUAGAACAGUUUACGGAACUCAGAAAAACAGUUUAUUUUUCUUUUUUUCUGAGAGAGAGGGUCUUAUUUUGUUGCCCAGGCUGGUGUGCAAUGGUGCAGUCAUAGCUCAUUGCAGCCUUGAUUGUCUGGGCUCCAGUGGUUCUCCCACCUCAGCCUCCCUAGUAGCUGAGACUACAUGCCUGCACCACCACAUCUGGCUAGUUUCUUUUUUUUUUUUGUAUAGAUGGGAUCUUGUUGUGUUGGCCAGGCUGGCCACAAAUUCCUGGUCUCAAGUGAUCCUCCCACCUCAGCCUCUGAAAGUGCUGGGAUUACAGAUGGGAGCCACCACAUCUGGCCAGUUCAUUUCUUAUUACUGGUUCAUUGUGAAGGAUACAUCUCAGAAACAGUCAAUGAAAGAGACGUGCAUGCUGGAUGCAGUGGCUCAUGCCUGUAAUCUCAGCACUUUGGGAGGCCAAGGUGGGAGGAUCGCUUAAACUCAAGAGUUUGAGACCAGCCUGGGCAACAUGGUGAAAACCUGUCUCUAUAAAAAAUUAAAAAAUAAUAAUAACCGGUGUGAUGGUGUGCACCUAGAGUUCCAACUACUAGGGAAGCUGAGAUGAGAGGAUACCUUGAGCUGGGGACUGGGGAGGCUUAGGUUACAGUAAGCUGAGAUUGUGCCACUGCACUCUAGCUUGGACAAAAGAGCCUGAUCCUGUCUCAAAAAAAAAGAUACCCAGGGCAAGUUAAGUUCGGAGGGGCACAGAGCUCCCAUGCCCUCUGUUGAACAUGCGACCCUCCCAGCAUCUCCUGUGUCCAGCAACCCUGAAAGCUCUGCAAACCCCAUUCAGGGUGUUUAUGGAGGCGUUAUUAUGCAAGCGUGAUUGAUAAAAUCUUUGGCUGUUGGUGAUUAAGUCAGUCUCCAGCCCCUCUUCCUCCUGGAGUUCAGUGCAUGAGGCUGAAAGUUCCAAGCCUCUUACCAUGUGGUUGCGUGGUAAUCAGCCCUCCUCUUGAGGAAAUUUAGGAGCUUGCAGUCACCCAGUCAUCUCAACAACAUCCCCAAAUGCAUUCUUACCAUGCUGGAGAUCCCAAAGUUCUUAGAGGCUCUCGUGUUAGAAACCUGGGACCAAGACCAAAUAUUAAAAGAAAAGAUGUUCCUGUCACAUCUAUCACUGAGGUCUUUGUAAGAGUUUUAGAAGCUCUGUGCCACGAACCAGGGACAGAGAUUAAAUAUAUAUUUCUUUUCUUUUUUUUGAGACAGAAUCUCCUGUGUCAUCCAGGCUGGAGUGCAGUGGUGUGAUCAUAGCUCACUAUAGCUUUGGCCUCCUGAGAUCAGGCAAUCCUCCCAUCUCAACCUCCCAAGUAGCUAGGACUACACAUGCAUGUCACCCAUGCCCAGCUCAUUUUUGUAGAGUCAGAGUUUUGCCAUGGUGGCCAGGUUGGCCAUGUUGGCCAGAUGGGGUCUUCUUUUGUUGCCCAGGCCGGCCACAAAUUCCUGGGCUCAAGUGAUCCUCCCACCUCGUCCUUGUAGAGAUGAGAUUUAGUUAUGUUGUCCAGGCUGAUCUCAAACUCCUGGGCUAAAUCGAUUGUCUCACCUCAGCCUCUCAAGGAGCUGGGACUACAGGCGCAUACCACCAUGUCGGGCUAAUAUUUAUUUUUAUUUUUUUCUAGAGGUGGGAUGUCUCACUGUGUUUUUCAUGCUAGUUUCAAACUUCGGGCCUCAAGUGUUCCUCCUGCCUUGACCUCCCAAAGUGUUGGGAUUCUGGGUGGGAGCCACCAUGCCCAGCAAUCAAAAGGGUCUUUAUAAAAGAAAGAGAGUAGGAGAUUCAGAAUUGGAGCAGGAGAUGUGGUGAUGAAAGCAGAGGUAAGAGAGGGAGAUUUGAAGAUGCUUCACCUCUGGCUUUGAAGAUGGAGUCAGGGGCCAUGAUCCAAGGAAUGGGGGUGGCUUCUAGAAGCUGGAAAAGCCAAGGGAACAUAUUAGAGUCUCCAGAAGGAAUGCAGCCCUGCUGACACCUUGACUUUAGCCUUAAUAGACCUAGUUUGGGUUUCUGGCCCCUAGAACUGUAAGAUGGUAGAUUUGUGGUGUUUUAAGCCACUAAAUGUAGGAAACUGCAAACUAUGUUGCAGCAGCAAGAAGAAAUGAACAUGAAGCCAGGCAUGAUGGCUCAUGCCGGUAAUCCCAGCACUUUAGGAAUUUAGGCAGGAGGAUCACUUGAGGCCAGGAGUUCAAGACCAGUCUGGGCAACAUAGUAAGACCUUGUCUCUACAAAAAAUGAAAAAAUUGGCCAGGCGUGGUGGCUCACGCCUGUAAUUCCAGCACUUUGGGAGGCCGAAGCAGGCAGAUUACCUGAGGUCAGGAGUUUGACACCAGCCUGGCCAACAUUGUGAAACCCCGGCUCUACUAAAAAUACAAAAAUUAGCUGGGCGUGGUGGCACGCACCUGUAAUCCCAGCUACUUGGAAGGCUGAGGCAGGAGAAUCACUUGAAUCUGGGAGGUGGAGGUUGCAGUGAGCCGGGAUCGCACCGUUACACUACAGCCUGGGCAAGAAGAGUGAAACUCUGUCUCAAAAUAAAAUAAAAUAAAAUAAAAUACUAAAAAAUUUAGCCAGGCAUGGUGGCAUGAACCUGGAGUCUCAGGUACUCGGGAGGCUGAGGUGGGAGGAUCGCUUGAGCCUGGAAAUUUGAGGUUGCAGUGAGCUGUGAUUUCGCCACUGCACUCCAGCCUUGGUGACAGUGAGAUCUUGAAAAAAAGAAAGAAGAAAGUAAAGAAAGAAGAAAUGAGCAUGGUAGGCAUGGGGACAGAUGGCAAUGUUAAAUAGAAUGGUCAGGGGUGGCCUCCUAAGUGAAAAUUGAGUAAAGAUUUGAAGGAGGUGGCCAAGGUGCUGAGGGAAGAGGAUUGUAGGCAGAAACAAUAGAAUAAACUGUCUGAGGUGUGUCUCUGGCUCUGGAAGGAGGCCCAUGUAGCAGAUGGAGAGAGGAA
Molecule: long non-coding RNA, 5602 nt
Organism: Gorilla gorilla gorilla (western lowland gorilla)
Lineage: Eukaryota; Metazoa; Chordata; Mammalia; Primates; Hominidae
Exons: 12
Source: RefSeq, a predicted model, not a curated record